This 253-nucleotide ribosomal RNA is filed under the name uncultured bacterium. RNAcentral describes it as "partial 16S ribosomal RNA". It matches the Rfam family "Bacterial small subunit ribosomal RNA", at positions 79 to 334 of the family's 1533-position model. The record is from RNAcentral.
CUAAGUUUGAUGGCGACCGGCGCACGGGUGAGUAACACGUAUCCAACCUGCCGAUGACUCGGGGAUAGCCUUUCGAAAGAAAGAUUAAUAUCCGAUAGCAUAUAUUUCCCGCAUGGGUUUUAUAUUAAAGAAAUUCGGUAUGAGAUGGGGAUGCGUUCCAUUAGUUUGUUGGGGGGUAACGGCCCACCAAGACUACGAUGGAUAGGGGUUCUGAGAGGAAGGUCCCCCACAUUGGAACUGAGACACGGUCCAA